This 679-nucleotide ribosomal RNA is filed under the name Dinoderus sp. MSL2007. RNAcentral's name for it is "eukaryotic LSU rRNA". It matches the Rfam family "Eukaryotic large subunit ribosomal RNA", at positions 650 to 1285 of the family's 3401-position model. Lineage: Eukaryota; Metazoa; Arthropoda; Insecta; Coleoptera; Bostrichidae. The record is from RNAcentral.
CGUCUUGAAACACGGACCAAGGAGUCUAGCAUGUGCGCGAGUCAUUGGGACUCUCUAAACCUAAAGGCGCAAUGAAAGUGAAGGGCCGCCUCGCGCGGCCCGAGGGAGGAUGGGCGUCGGCUAAUUUAGUCGCGUCCCGCACUCCCGGGGCGUCUCGCUCUCAUCGCGAGAAGAGGCGCACCCAUAGCGUACACGCUGGGACCCGAAAGAUGGUGAACUAUGCCUGGUCAGGACGAAGUCAGGGGAAACCCUGAUGGAGGUCCGUAGCGAUUCUGACGUGCAAAUCGAUCGUCGGAACUGGGUAUAGGGGCGAAAGACUAAUCGAACCAUCUAGUAGCUGGUUCCCUCCGAAGUUUCCCUCAGGAUAGCUGGCGCUCGUUUUUAACGAGUCUCAUCCGGUAAAGCGAAUGAUUAGAGGCAUUGGGGUCGAAACGGCCUCAACCUAUUCUCAAACUUUAAAUGGGUGAGAUCUCCGGCUUGCUCGAUUGUGAAGCCGCGAGAUUUCGGAUCAGAGUGCCAAGUGGGCCAUUUUUGGUAAGCAGAACUGGCGCUGUGGGAUGAACCAAACGCGUAGUUAAAGCGCCAAAAUCGACGCUUAUGGGAUACCAUGAAAGGCGUUGGUAACUUAAGACAGCAGGACGGUGGCCAUGGAAGUCGGAAUCCGCUAAGGAGUGUGUAA